Small nucleolar RNA from Mastomys coucha (southern multimammate mouse), 134 nucleotides. RefSeq annotates it as small nucleolar RNA SNORA17. NCBI's taxonomy places the organism in Eukaryota, Metazoa, Chordata, Mammalia, Rodentia, Muridae. The transcript has a single exon. The record is from RefSeq and is a predicted model, not a curated record.
CCACCCCCCGGAAGCAUUGAAUGAUGGCUGCUGUGUCGCAUGUCCGUCAGGAGGUGACAGAGAGGAGAGGGGCUAUGUCUUUGCUCAGUGUUCUGACCUGUGAACAUUUGAAUGAUUAGGGGGAGCCUAUCAUU